Molecule: ribosomal RNA, 491 nt
Filed under: uncultured bacterium
Lineage: Bacteria
Description: partial 16S ribosomal RNA
Rfam family: Bacterial small subunit ribosomal RNA
Source: RNAcentral
GAUGAACGCUGGCUACAGGCUUAACACAUGCAAGUCGAGGGGAAACGACGGGGAAGCUUGCUUCCCCGGGCGUCGACCGGCGCACGGGUGAGUAACGCGUAUCCAACCUGCCUCUGACUGAGGGAUAACCCGUCGAAAGUCGGCCUAAUACCUCAUGGCAUCGUCUGCGGGCAUCCAACGACGAUUGAAGAUUUCAUCGGUCAGGGAUGGGGAUGCGUCUGAUUAGCUUGUUGGCGGGGUAACGGCCCACCAAGGCUACGAUCAGUAGGGGUUCUGAGAGGAAGGUCCCCCACAUUGGAACUGAGACACGGUCCAAACUCCUACGGGAGGCAGCAGUGAGGAAUAUUGGUCAAUGGGCGGGAGCCUGAACCAGCCAAGUAGCGUGCAGGAUGACGGCCCUAUGGGUUGUAAACUGCUUUUAUGCGGGGAUAAAGUGAGGGACGUGUCCUUCAUUGCAGGUACCGCAUGAAUAAGGACCGGCUAAUUCCGUG